UGAGUAACACGUGGGCAAUCUGCCCUGCACUUCGGGAUAAGCCUGGGAAACUGGGUCUAAUACCGAAUAGGACCACUUGGCGCAUGCCUUGUGGUGGAAAGCUUUUGCGGUGUGGGAUGGGCCCGCGGCCUAUCAGCUUGUUGGUGGGGUGAUGGCCUACCAAGGCGACGACGGGUAGCCGGCCUGAGAGGGUGUCCGGCCACACUGGGACUGAGAUACGGCCCAGACUCCUACGGGAGGCAGCAGUGGGGAAUAUUGCACAAUGGGCGCAAGCCUGAUGCAGCGACGCCGCGUGGGGGAUGACGGCCUUCGGGUUGUAAACCUCUUUCACCAUCGACGAAGGCUCACUUCGUGAGUUGACGGUAGGUGGAGAAGAAGCACCGGCCAACUACGUGCCAGCAGCCGCGGUAAUACGUAGGGUGCGAGCGUUGUCCGGAAUUACUGGGCGUAAAGAGCUCGUAGGUGGUUUGUCGCGUUGUUCGUGAAAUCUCACGGCUUAACUGUGAGCGUGCGGGCGAUACGGGCAGACUAGAGUACUGCAGGGGAGACUGGAAUUCCUGGUGUAGCGGUGGAAUGCGCAGAUAUCAGGAGGAACACCGGUGGCGAAGGCGGGUCUCUGGGCAGUAACUGACGCUGAGGAGCGAAAGCGUGGGGAGCGAACAGGAUUAGAUACCCUGGUAGUCCACGCCGUAAACGGUGGGUACUAGGUGUGGGUUUCCUUCCUUGGGAUCCGUGCCGUAGCUAACGCAUUAAGUACCCCGCCUGGGGAGUACGGCCGCAAGGCUAAAACUCAAAGGAAUUGACGGGGGCCCGCACAA
Molecule: ribosomal RNA, 818 nt
Filed under: Mycobacterium sp.
Lineage: Bacteria; Bacillati; Actinomycetota; Actinomycetes; Mycobacteriales; Mycobacteriaceae
Description: bacterial SSU rRNA
Rfam family: Bacterial small subunit ribosomal RNA
Source: RNAcentral